ACACACGUACUACAAUGGCCGGUACAAAGGGCGAGCCACUUAGCGAUAAGGAGCCAAUCCCGUAAAGCCGGUCUCAGUCCGGAUUGGAGUCUGCAACUCGACUCCAUGAAGUUGGAAUCGCUAGUAAUCGCAGAUCAGCACGCUGCGGUGAAUACGUUCCCGGGCCUU
RNAcentral lists this ribosomal RNA (168 nucleotides) under uncultured Desulfocapsa sp. Its description in RNAcentral is "partial 16S ribosomal RNA". It matches the Rfam family "Bacterial small subunit ribosomal RNA", at positions 1216 to 1382 of the family's 1533-position model. The record is from RNAcentral. Lineage: Bacteria; Pseudomonadati; Thermodesulfobacteriota; Desulfobulbia; Desulfobulbales; Desulfocapsaceae.